Molecule: ribosomal RNA, 486 nt
Filed under: uncultured bacterium
Lineage: Bacteria
Description: partial 16S ribosomal RNA
Rfam family: Bacterial small subunit ribosomal RNA
Source: RNAcentral
GAUGAACGCUGGCGGCGUGCCUAAUACAUGCAAGUCGAACGCUGGAGAUCUAGCUUGCUAGAUCGAAGGAGUGGCGAACGGGUGAGUAAUACAUAAGCAACCUACCCACGAAGACUGGGAUAAUCUCUGGAAACGGGGACUAAUACCGGAUAGGUAAUCGGAAGGCCUCUUCUGGUUAUUAAAGGUUAAAAACACUGGUGGAUGGGCUUAUGGCGCAUUAGUUAGUUGGUGAGGUAACGGCCCACCAAGACGAUGAUGCGUAGCCGGCCUGAGAGGGUGAACGGCCACAUUGGGACUGAGACACGGCCCAGACUCCUACGGGAGGCAGCAGUAGGGAAUUUUCGGCAAUGGGGGAAACCCUGACCGAGCAACGCCGCGUGAGUGAAGACGGCCUUCGGGUUGUAAAGCUCUGUUGUAAGGGAAGAACGGUAGAUAGAGAAUAUCUAAGUGACGGUACCUUAACAGAAAGCCACGGCUAACUACGUG